RNAcentral lists this ribosomal RNA (427 nucleotides) under uncultured bacterium. RNAcentral's name for it is "bacterial SSU rRNA". It matches the Rfam family "Bacterial small subunit ribosomal RNA", at positions 368 to 793 of the family's 1533-position model. The record is from RNAcentral.
UCAAUGGACGCAAGUCUGAACCAGCCAUGUCGCGUGCAGGAAGACUGCCCUAUGGGUUGUAAACUGCUUUAUACGGGAAGAAAUAUAGCUACGUGUAGUUAUUUGCCGGUACCGUAUGAAUAAGCAUCGGCUAACUCCGUGCCAGCAGCCGCGGUAAUACGGAGGAUGCGAGCGUUAUCCGGAUUCAUUGGGUUUAAAGGGUGCGUAGGCGGAAGUAUAAGUCAGGGGUGAAAGUUUGUGGCUCAACCAUAAAAUUGCCUUUGAUACUGUAUUUCUUGAGUACAUUUGAGGUAGGCGGAAUGUGUUGUGUAGCGGUGAAAUGCUUAGAUAUAACACAGAACACCGAUUGCGAAGGCAGCUUACUAAACUGUAACUGACGCUGAUGCACGAAAGCGUGGGGAUCGAACAGGAUUAGAUACCCUGGUAG